AUUGAACGCUGGCGGCAUGCUUUACACAUGCAAGUCGGACGGCAGCACAGAGACGCUUGCUUCUUGGGUGGCGAGUGGCGAACGGGUGAGUAAUAUAUCGGAACGUACCGAGUAAUGGGGGAUAACUAAUCGAAAGAUUAGCUAAUACCGCAUAUUCUCUGAGGAGGAAAGCAGGGGACCUUCGGGCCUUGCGUUAUUCGAGCGGCCGAUAUCUGAUUAGCUAGUUGGUGGGGUAAAGGCCUACCAAGGCGACGAUCAGUAGCGGGUCUGAGAGGAUGAUCCGCCACACUGGGACUGAGACACGGCCCAGACUCCUACGGGAGGCAGCAGUGGGGAAUUUUGGACAAUGGGCGCAAGCCUGAUCCAGCCAUGCCGCGUGUCUGAAGAAGGCCUUCGGGUUGUAAAGGACUUUUGUCAGGGAAGAAAAGGCUGUUGCUAAUACCGACAGCUGAUGACGGUACCUGAAGAAUAAGCACCGGCUAACUACGUG
Molecule: ribosomal RNA, 490 nt
Filed under: uncultured bacterium
Lineage: Bacteria
Description: partial 16S ribosomal RNA
Rfam family: Bacterial small subunit ribosomal RNA
Source: RNAcentral